This 819-nucleotide long non-coding RNA is filed under the name Zostera marina. RNAcentral's name for it is "long non-coding RNA (ZMAR_LNC002814)". Lineage: Eukaryota; Viridiplantae; Streptophyta; Magnoliopsida; Alismatales; Zosteraceae. The record is from RNAcentral.
AGUGGAUACAUCAUCCUCAGAAGGAAUUACAAGAUCAACGUCUUCUUGAAAACCAAUGGCACCCAAACUCUCAGGGAGACUGGAUAUUUUCUGAGGUAAGGACGCAAUAGUUCUAAAACCAGGUGUCUCGAGAUCAUUUGACUGAGCUUUAGCAUCAAGAGGUGACAUUAAAACCAGUUCUAUACUAUUUUCAUUCAUAGCAGAUUCUUCGGCGACAGGUAUCACUUGCUCUUUUUUAAGAGGAAAUUCAGAAGUAGGUGUUUCUAAUUGCCUGCAAAUCUCUUUAUUGACCAUUUCUGAAACAGCAAGAGCAUUUUUAGUUUCAAGAGAAGAAACAGUUAUUGCGUCGGAUUUGUUUUUCAUGGGAAUAUCAGAAUCUCCAUUUUCAUCUGCCAAUGAUUUUUCAACAAUAUCAGCUGCAACAAGAAUAUUUUUAACCUCGACAUUAUCGCUGUGUUUUCCUUUCUUUUUCUUCUUACGACGUUUACUUCUGUCAUUAUUGGCUAAAGGAGCAGUGGAUACAUCAUCCUCAGAAGGAAUUACAAGAUCAACGUCUUCUUGAAAAUCAAUGGUACCCAAACUCUCAGGGAGACUGGAUAUUUUCUGAGGUAAGGACGCAAUAGUUCUAAAACCAGGUGUCUCGAGAUCAUUUGACUGAGCUUUAGCAUCAAGAGGUGACGUCAAAACCAGUUCUAUACUAUUUUCAUUCAUAGCAGAUUCUUCGGCGACAGGUAUCACUUGCUCUUUUUCAAGAGGAAAUUCAGAAGUAGGUGUUUCUAAUAGCCUGCAAAUCUCUUUAUUGACCUUUUCUGAAACAGC